UACGUAGGGGGCAAGCGUUGUCCGGAAUCAUUGGGCGUAAAGCGCGUGUAGGCGGCUCGGUAAGUCUGCUGUGAAAGUCCAGGGCUCAACCCUGGGAUGCCGGUGGAUACUGUCGGGCUAGAGUACGGAAGAGGCGAGUGGAAUUCCCGGUGUAGCGGUGAAAUGCGCAGAUAUCGGGAGGAACACCAAUUGCGAAGGCAGCUCGCUGGGACGUUACUGACGCUGAGACGCGAAAGCGUGGGGAGCAAACAGG
This 253-nucleotide ribosomal RNA is filed under the name uncultured bacterium. RNAcentral describes it as "partial 16S ribosomal RNA". It matches the Rfam family "Bacterial small subunit ribosomal RNA", at positions 524 to 776 of the family's 1533-position model. The record is from RNAcentral.